Molecule: long non-coding RNA, 724 nt
Organism: Saccoglossus kowalevskii
Lineage: Eukaryota; Metazoa; Hemichordata; Enteropneusta; Harrimaniidae
Source: RefSeq, a predicted model, not a curated record
GUUAUUUUAAUCAAUUAGUAAUUCGGUUCUUUCCAGAACACUCAUAUGUGGCAUGAAUAGAUUGGGAAAUUCCGUAGAUACGAAAUACUGAGAACAGUCGGUAGGGUACUAGCAUUGCAAGUAUAUCAUAUUCUGAUUGUAUUCAUUCGACAGCAUACCUUCGCUGAGAUCUAUCGUGAACGUUGUUCAAGAUGGCCGAUUACCAACUCAACUCAAAGGACAACAGUCGACGCACUGCUAUUAAUAGACUUCAAGAAAGUGCAGCAGAAUUCAGGAGUGGUUCACGCCGUCAUGAAGUAAGAUGUCGGAAACUUAUCAACAAUCACGAAGUCGAAGCUGAUAUUAGAAGAGCACUGUUGAAUGUAUAUACGAUACCAAGAAACAAUACAGUACGUGUACAUCCACUGCCAACUUAUUGACGCUGUUCCAAUUACAUAUGAACACUGAUGAUAUAUAUUGGACCACUUCUCUCAAAUCCAUUGACUACUAAUCUAAUAACUAUCCAGUGCUGGUAAUGAACUUUUUGUGACAGACAGUUUUUGUAAUGUCAAUGUGAACAACUUUUAGUGUGGAGAUUCCAAUGCAGCUUCCCUUGUCGAAGCGACUAGCGGCGUGUUACUGACUGUACAUAUUUCAAUCGUGCCCACAAGUAAAAUGUGUUGUUCUAUGUACGUUGUUGCUGGACCAACCUUAAUUAUUAAAACUAUGUGCACAAGAAAUACAA